GUUUGCUAUCCAUUAGGUCCCUCUUGCAUUUUGCACUUGUUUUUUAGGUGAAUUAAAGAUUGCUAAGGGAGGAAAUGGCUCAAGAAGGGAUUGGCAAUAUGGGAGGGAUGGUUAUGAAUAUUUUCACCAGAAGAGUAUUGAGACAAUCUGCUGGAAAAAGAAUUGAAAGAAAUUUAUACUUCCCUUUCACAUGAUGCUUGUUUGGAGAAUUUCGCAGGGUUUUGCUGAUCCUCUUCAUCCGGGGUUUUCUCAUGUUGCUGGGAUGUUGUCAUUGAUUAGGGUGAUUGGGCUUGCUUGGAUUAGAUCUUGGCUGCAAGAGUCUUUUAUACAAGCUUAUUCUACCAGACCCCUUGGUGUUUGAGUCCAACCAUAGUUGUUGGCUGAAUCAAUUCAGUCAAAUGGAGCCUGCUAAUUUUUGAAGGGUGCGUAUGACAGUUGAAGCCAUGAUGCAUCUCAUCUGAUAACUUCAGAAAAUUUGGAACUUAUUCAGGCAUUGUCUGGUGAAGCCUCAUCUGUUCAGAAAAGCAUGUCAAAGAAGACAAUUAUUGGUGCCAAGCGCCCCCUUGAGCGGAGUCAUGAAAAUUAUGCAAUGGAUACUAUCCCAAUUCAUCCUGCCCAGGCAAUAUGUGUACCUGUGUACCCGAAGAACAAUGAUCAAAGGUGGAAGUGAGCAGAGGCCAAGUUGCCACCACCCAAAUGGUUACAUUUUCAGUCAUCCAAUUGAUGAGAUGACAGGAUGCAAACAAAGCUUUGAAGCUCAAAGUUGUGAUGAAGAUUGGCCUCUGUCUGAUUAUGAGCAUUUUGAAAGAGUGAGUGAGGACUGGUGAAGGAAGUCUUGCUGAUGAAGCUGUUCUUAUGUUUUUUUUUUAUUGCUUUUGCUUUGAUGCUUUUGUGGACUUGUCGUGAUUUUCAGCUCAUUUCUACUGCUGUAAUACAUUUUUGAGAGUGAUAUUUAUACUCUCUUUUGGGGAAUGAAAGACCUAUCUGUCAUAUUU
This is a long non-coding RNA of Humulus lupulus (European hop), 995 nucleotides long. RefSeq lists it as uncharacterized. The transcript is spliced from 6 exons. NCBI's taxonomy places the organism in Eukaryota, Viridiplantae, Streptophyta, Magnoliopsida, Rosales, Cannabaceae. The record is from RefSeq and is a predicted model, not a curated record.